Molecule: long non-coding RNA, 352 nt
Filed under: Bos taurus (domestic cattle)
Lineage: Eukaryota; Metazoa; Chordata; Mammalia; Artiodactyla; Bovidae
Description: long non-coding RNA NONBTAT011900
Source: RNAcentral
AGGUCAGUGGUGGCCUGACCCACACUAGAGGUCUCUGAAACCCACGCCUACAGCUCCCUAUGAUGACCCAAGAAAUAUUUAGAAUGAACAAGCAUUUUCAAGGUUUUGGCACAUUGAUUUCAUUUUGCUGCUAGGCGACACAGUAAUUUAGCUAAUUGUUUUGUAAUUAAAUAACAAAAACAUUUUCCUGUGAGCAAAUGUUUUUCUUUCAGAUAGUAUUUGUAAGUUAAAAAAAAAAAACCAAAACUUUAGAAGAGUAACACAAAGUUUCUAAUAUAUUGCCCAUCCUCAGUUUAUCCUGAAAGAAGGAGUUAACAUGUCCACAUCUGUAGUAUCUGAGUAUCUUGUUAAU